Molecule: long non-coding RNA, 354 nt
Filed under: Oryza sativa Indica Group (long-grained rice)
Lineage: Eukaryota; Viridiplantae; Streptophyta; Magnoliopsida; Poales; Poaceae
Description: lncRNA OsMH63_01G036300
Source: RNAcentral
GUGUCCACGCUCGGCGUGUCAUCGGCGUCGUGGACGGUGGUCGGCGCGGGCGCAGUGACCCUCGUCGUCUUCGCCGACGUCGCGGUAGCACUUGACGUCGUAGCUCAUACGCAUAUACGCCGGACGUAUAUAUUAGCCAAGCAUGUGUAUAUGGCUGAGCACACUCACAUUGGAGGAGCGCGGAUGCGGGGGGUGCAGCGGAAGGCGAGCGCGGCGGAGGAGCGGCGGCGGGCGAGCGCGGCGGUGGGCAAAGCAGCGGAGGGUGAGCUAGGCGAAGCGGAAGACAGUGGAUGGGAUGGGGAGCUCCCCCGUGCUCGGCCGCCACCACCGCCGUGCCCCCGCGGAUUCCGCUGA